Molecule: long non-coding RNA, 2117 nt
Organism: Gallus gallus (chicken)
Lineage: Eukaryota; Metazoa; Chordata; Aves; Galliformes; Phasianidae
Source: Ensembl
GUGCCCCGCGCGCCGCCGGCGCCGUGAGGUGACGUCCCGGACGCCGAUGGGCUGCCCGCCGGAGGGCGGAGCCGGGGCCCGGCCUGAGGCUGAGAUGGGAAGAAGCGGGCCGGUUACAUCUCUUAGCAUCGCUGCUGCUGCUCUUUGCUUUUCUAAAGCGUUACCUUACGUGGGUACUUUGCUCGGGCUGGCUCCCAGCGGCACGGUGAGGCUGUGGUGGGUGACCGGGUGGGGGUUGUCUGUUUCUCACAGCACAAGAUGUGGCAUGAUUGCUUUCUGGCGUCUGCAGUUUGUUGUGAACUACUCUGCAGUCUGCAGCCCAGCCAGAACCGGGAGGGACACCCCACGUUUUGCCUGACGCCUUUUCCUUCCAAGGCUGGAGCUGCCUCAGUCUAGCUGCUGGAACACACCCAGCAUUCCAUGAGCAAGCAACAACAACUACUCUUUUAUUGUAUCCAACUUUUAUUACAUGCAGUUGGGAACAUUUGACAAAUUUUGUUUUUCCUUUAAAAAGCUCUUAUUCUCAAUUAUGAAGGUAACAAGAACAAAUGCAAAAAUAUCCAUCUAUGCUUCAGUUGUUUCUCCCUGGAGAAUGGACAGUUCCCUCAAAAAUCUGCCUUCCAUGUAGUAUUUCACCUAGGCAACCCCCUUAGUGCAGAACUGGGAUACUUUUUCUGACAUCAUGGGAUUACCAGCAAUUACAGAAAGGUAAGUGAUAUAUCAUAGAAUCAUAGAAUGGCCUGGGUUGGAAAGGACCACAGUGAUCAUCUGGUUUCAACCCCCCUGCUACGUGCAGGGUUACCAACCACCAGACCAGGCUGCCCAGAGCCACAUCCAGCCUGGCCUUGAAUGCCUCCAGGGAUGGGGCAUCCACAACCUUCUGGGGCAACCUGUUCCAGUGCGUCACCACCCUCUGUGUGAAAAACUUCCUCCUAAUAUCUAACCUAAACCUCCCCUGUCUCAGUUUUAGACCAUUCCCCCUCAUCCUAUCAUAUCCACCCUUGUAAACAGCUAUUCUCCCUCCUGUUUAUAUGCUCCCUUCAAGUAUUGGAAGGCCACAAUGAGGUCUCCCCAGAGCCUUCUCUUCUCCAAUCUAAGCAAUCUCAGCUCCCUCAGCCUUUUCUCAAAGGAGAGGUGCUCCAGCCCUCUGAUCAUCUUAGUGGCCCUCCUCUGGACCCACUCUAAGAGCUCCACGUCCUUCCUGUACUGGGGGCCCCAGGCCUGGAUGCAGUACUCCAGAUGGGGCCUCACAAGAGCCGAGUAGAGGGGGACAGUCACCUCCCUCUGGUCUUCCUAGGUCUCGAGCUGGAUCAGCUGAUUUCAUAACAGUGAGCAUCACAACUUGGGUAGAAUCACUAGGUUUCCAGUAAUGAAAUUAUCUCCUUUCCAUCUGUUCCAUGCAUACUGCCACCCUUGUGAAUUUGUUCUUUUUCCAAACUCAGACUUACCUAUAGGCUGUUCCAAACCCAGUUAGGCCAUACAACUUCAUUAUGCUAAAAAUAUGUAAGCUAAUAGAUUUCUGGACUAUUUGGAUUUGAAAAAUGAUUGCUAAGAAGGGACUGGGGAUGGAUAACCACCACACCCCUGGGUUUAUACACAAGCAGAAUCACCCUCCUCCCAGACUGAAUGAUCUUAGAGAUGAUGCAUCUCUGAGCAUUCAUUUCAUGCCUGAGUGCUACAGAUGAAAGCUCAAUAUUCUUGGCUUGUACAACUCUUUGGAGUUAUUAUAUUAUUUCUUAAGUCUAAAUAUCUUCAGUUAUAUUGUCAAAAAAAAAAAAAACUCUUUUAAGAAAAUAAAUAGCUUUUUUAACUUUAAAAGUACUGUACAAGUUCUGCAUAUGUUAAGAGAAAGAUUACUGCCCAGAAGACAAAAUGAAAUUAAUAAGCAUAAAGCACAGUGGCUAAGUUGCAAAACAAAUGUAUGUAUGUAGUUUAAUGGCUUAUUUUAUCACAUGUUCAAAUUUACACCUGUAAUAGAAAAAAAUAAAUCUGUUUUAACAGCUUCCUGUGAACUUGAAGUCUUGUUAUGAGUUUCUGGUAUAUAACCAGUGAGUCAAGAUGUUUGUGCAGCUCACAGAGGCUUUCUUCUGUCCUCAAACUGUCCUCAAACUACGUGG